UAAACACAGGAAGAAGGCCGAGGAGAAGUGGAUGUGGUUGGCUACAGAUCUUUAAAGAGAGGAUGUGAUCCAGCCUUGAGACAGUUUUCAACUGUAACAAAUGGCAUUGCUUGUGAUUGUAUCUAUUGUGGAUGAGGCAAAUAACUGCGGGGCCUGAGUAAUAGCUUCAACUGGGUGAAUUAUAUUUGAGGAAUGGAAGUAUCAUAGAAUCACAGAACAUCCUGAGUUGGAAGGGACCCACAAGGAUCAUCAAGUCCAACUCCUGGCUCCACACAGGACUACAUAAAAGUAAAACGGUAUGUCUGAGAAUGAAUACUGUGCCAGUCAUUCUGAAAUUAUUCACUUAUUGUGGUCAAUUAAUGCUCUUGAAUAUUCUGGAUAUGGAAGAAAAAUUCCAGGAGAAGAUCCCAUUAAAUUUCAGGGAGCUGUUUGUUUCUUGGCUCUUUGAAAAAAAAUGAAGUUAACUAGAAUACUUCUGUGGAAUGUGAAGAAGCCAGGUUUGUCUCAUUUUCUUUAGACCAGGAAAUCAAAUUGUUCCCGUUUCACCAGUCAGAGUGUCUGAAACAUCUGGCUGUUGGUUAUCCUGGUGAAGUGAGGACUCGCUGGAGUCUCUCCUGGUGGUACCCAUCCUCCUCUCACAACUGAAUUCCACUCGUGCAAGAGCUGGUGCCCUAACAGACGUCACAGUGGUACAACUGGUCAAACAUACCGAUAGAAAAGGCAGGUGCUGUACUGCAAAUCCCACUUGAAAUGCACGGGGCUUCAGUAUUUGGAAACAUGCCUAUACCUAGGAGAAGGUGGAAUAACAUAUUUGGAGAAUAUGAAUGCUCCAGAUACUACAUCUGAAAGAAAUGAUUGCCAAAGUGCUCAAGAGAGGAAAUCUCCAGACUUAUCCGUAAGACUUUCCUCUUUGCCUUGGAAAAUUACCAAGCUGGAUAAUUUCUCAGGAGUCAGAUUUUCAGAACUGCACAAAGUACGUGGAGUGCUUCCCCAUCGCCUCCCUUUCACCUAUGUUUUCAACGUAAGCUGCACUUUUAAUGACUUUUUGUAAAUCCCGAGUUAUGGCUUGGAGAAAGGCAUGCUGCUAGGUGGUGAUAUGAUUUCAUUGGGUUUCUUCGUUGCCACCAGGAACCUCACGCAGCCCAUGGGCAUGCCAGAGCUCAGCAGUGAAAUGCUCAGAAGAGCCCAUUUAAACCUUGGCACCGCAUCGCUGCAUUUGGGGGAUUUGUAACCUUUGCCAGCUUAUCAUAAACACCAUGCCUCGGUGGCACUUGCUGUGGCUGUAAUGCAGACCAGCACCUUCUGACUUCUGCUGUCUCUGCUGACUUCGUUUCAGAGAUUUCAGCAGAGCACAGACACGGUGAAAUCACCAUUCAGCAGAGCAGGGAGAAGCAACCUCAAACCAGCCCUUCCUUCCGAGAUGUGACCUCCCAAGCCACGUAGCAAUGAGGUCGGUGCUGAACUUCACCUAAAGUUUGGUGCCUCUGUGCCAUGCAAUUUCAUGUCAUAUCUGUUGGCUUUGUGAAGACUAAACAGAUGUCUCCCACACUGAGCUUUUCAUAUAAUUUAAUCCAUUCAUUUUCAUAUAAUUUAAUCCAUUCAGGAUGAGUUGAUGUUGCAAAAGGCAGCGUUUGGUGGAAACUCGUGAGUCUUGCAGUGCCCCUCGCAGUGUGCUCACCCACUGACCUUUCAGUAGAUGACUUGCUGAAGACAAAGUAAUGCUUUCUGUGUGACUAGGAAUUUUCUGUUUGGUUUUUAAUACCCAUUAGCUAAAAGCAAAAUGGCCUUCACUAAAAAGUCAAAAGGGGAGACUGCAAUUGAUUUAAUACUUAUAUUAAUUUAUAUCCAGAUGCCUUACUCUAUUUGCAAUUGUGUCAGCUCAUAGAAACUGUGUAAAAGGAAGCACCUCUUCCCAAAUAUCAUGUUUCUUUUUGAAUAACAUAUUCACAGAGCUCUUCGCAGGAGAGUAUUUGCAAUAGAUACAGUCUUUCUUGCAGUACGCUGCUGGCAUUGAGCAGCUAAUGCACGCUGCUUUAGUGUGCGAAAUGGGA
This 2051-nucleotide long non-coding RNA is filed under the name Anser brachyrhynchus (Pink-footed goose). Its description in RNAcentral is "lncRNA (ENSABRG00000009521.1)". The record is from RNAcentral. Lineage: Eukaryota; Metazoa; Chordata; Aves; Anseriformes; Anatidae.